UACGUAGGGGGCAAGCGUUGUCCGGAAUCAUUGGGCGUAAAGAGCGCGUAGGCGGCCCUGUAAGUCCGCUGUGAAAGUCAAGGGCUCAACCCUUGGAUGCCGGUGGAUACUGCAGGGCUAGAGUCCGGAAGAGGCGAGUGGAAUUCCUGGUGUAGCGGUGAAAUGCGCAGAUAUCAGGAGGAACACCGAUGGCGAAGGCAGCUCGGUGGGACGGUACUGACGCUGAGGCGCGAAAGCGUGGGGAGCAAACAGG
This 253-nucleotide ribosomal RNA is filed under the name uncultured bacterium. RNAcentral describes it as "partial 16S ribosomal RNA". It matches the Rfam family "Bacterial small subunit ribosomal RNA", at positions 524 to 776 of the family's 1533-position model. The record is from RNAcentral.